Molecule: ribosomal RNA, 517 nt
Filed under: uncultured bacterium
Lineage: Bacteria
Description: bacterial SSU rRNA
Rfam family: Bacterial small subunit ribosomal RNA
Source: RNAcentral
ACACGCUGGCGGCGUGCCUAAUACAUGCAAGUCGAACGGUCUUUUCUAUGGAAGCUUGCUUCCACUGAGAAGAUAGUGGCGAACGGGUGAGUAACACGUGGGUAACCUGCCCAUAAGAGGGGGGAUAACAUCCGGAAACGGGUGCUAAUACCGCAUAGUUUUCUUGAUCGCAUGAUCGGGAAAGGAAAGACGGCCUUUGUGCUGUCGCUUAUGGAUGGACCCGCGGCGUAUUAGUUAGUUGGUGAGGUAACGGCUCACCAAGACGAUGAUACGUAGCCGACCUGAGAGGGUGAUCGGCCACAUUGGGACUGAGACACGGCCCAAACUCCUACGGGAGGCAGCAGUAGGGAAUCUUCCGCAAUGGACGAAAGUCUGACGGAGCAACGCCGCGUGAGUGAAGAAGGUUUUUCCGGAUCGUAAAACUCUGUUGUCAGAGAAGAACAAGUUGGAGAGUAACUGCUCCGGCCUUGACGGUAUCUGACCAGAAAGCCACGGCUAACUACGUGCCAGCAGCAGC